ACUGCCGGCGCAGCCCGGCGCUGCGGGCUGUGUAGUUGGAACUUCGGGCUGUCUGUGUGCAUCCUGCUCUGUGCCUGCCACUUGGCGCGCCACCCGAGCUAUGGCCGCCCCACCGCGGUUGCGGGCUCUGCUCCUUGCGGUCAACGCACUAUUGCGCAAGCGCCGCUACCACGCUGCCUUGGCGAUGCUUAAGGGGUUCCGGAACGGGGUAGUCUAUGGAGUCAAAAUCCGGACCCCUCACGCGCUGGUCAUGACAUUUCUCUUCCGGAGUGGCAGCUUCCGGGAGAAGCUGCGGGCCAUCCUGCAAGCCACGUACAUCCAUUCCCGGAACCUGGCUUGCUUUGUGUUUGCCUACAAGGGACUCUGUGCCCUGCAGUCCUGCGUGCAGGGCGAGACCUACCAGGUGCACUCCUUCCUGGCUGCCUUCGUCGGGGGCUGGCUGGUGUUUGGAGACAACAAUAGCAUCAACAGCCAGAUCAACAUGUACCUGGUGUCGCGCACCCUGUUCGCGCUGUGCCGCCUUGGCGUGGAGAAAGGCUACAUCCCUGAACCCAAGCGGGACCCAUUCCCGCUGCUCACUGCCGUGGUGUGGGGGCUGGUCCUGUGGCUGUUUGAGUACCACAGGCACACGCUGCAGCCCUCCCUGCAGUCUUCCAUGACCUACCUGUACCAGGACAGCAACGUGUGGCACGACAUCUUAGACUUCCUCGUCUACAACAAGAGCCGCCCCUCGCAGUGACGCGGACCCAAGGUGCUUAUGGGGUCUUGGACACCCGAGUAGGCUCCCGGCUGUGUCUGGCUGUGGCUUGAGAGGUGUCCAUCAGUGAAACCUCCCAGAGGAUCCUGCUUUCUCAAGAUCAUGGGUCUCAGGCUCUAAUUUUAUUAUCCCAGGGUUCCAUUUGCCGAAGUAAAAGCACUGAUUGUCAGAUCCCAUUAGGUACUCUUGAAUGGUGGAACAAGUGGCUGCAUCAGGCUGAGGAGCCUUGGGCAUGGUUCCAGCUGUGCUGCCGACCUCUGUGACACCAGGGAAAGUCACACCCCCUCUGGGCCUCAGGGGUCAUCGAGCUCAGAGGAGGGCCCUGAAGUCUCUUUCUGACCUGCAAGGCCAGAGGAUUGACACAUCCCAGGAGCAGCCCUCAACCAGUGAGUGAUGAACGCCCCCGCCCACACUGGGUGGGAUAACUGAGACACAUGCUGCACACUGGCUUCCAGAGCGCCCAGCAGGACUGAGAUGCAGUUGCCCACGGUGGACACUUGCUUGAUAACACCCCCUUCCCUGUCUUCCUUCCUCAUGCCCCUACCAUUGCUUGCUGGGACCACUUCCCAUAUAAACCACUUGCACUCAGAUUGUCUUGGGUCUGCUUUCGGGGGAACCCAAACUAAAAUUGGCCUCUGGUGCAGCAGGUUGAGAGGUAGUACAACAUGGUGGUUAGGGAUGUAGGCUUUGGGGCCAGCGUGCCCAGGCUCAGCUCUGGCCCCGCUGUUUCCUUGGGCAAGUGACUUAACCAUUCUGUGCCUCUGUUUUGUCAUCUGUAAAAUAGGCAUGCUAAUAGCACACACCUCAUAGGGUGGUCUGGAGAAUUAAAUGAUACGACUCAUAUAAA
Equus caballus (horse) is the source of this 1604-nucleotide RNA transcript. It is a transcript of the gene named peroxisomal membrane protein 4, with no coding region annotated. The record is from RefSeq and is a predicted model, not a curated record. NCBI's taxonomy places the organism in Eukaryota, Metazoa, Chordata, Mammalia, Perissodactyla, Equidae.